Apodemus sylvaticus (European woodmouse) is the source of this 598-nucleotide long non-coding RNA. RefSeq lists it as uncharacterized. The record is from RefSeq and is a predicted model, not a curated record. The transcript has 3 exons. NCBI's taxonomy places the organism in Eukaryota, Metazoa, Chordata, Mammalia, Rodentia, Muridae.
CUAGUGCUUGUAAACCAGUGUGUAGCAUCUAGGGGCCACAGAGAAAGAAAGCCAGUAAACUUGGGUAAGCACAGCGCCUGAGUUCCAAAGACGGUAGCAACCUCGUGCUUGGGAAGAGCCGACCUUCAGCCAUCUCCUCAUUUGUGUGUCAGUCCCUGCUCUCAGACAUGGCAUUUGUCUCUGUCUCCCCCCCAGAAGAUGAGGUGGGACACCAUCCACCCUGAGUCCCACGGAGGGACGGAGCCCGCCCGGCAUACCUAUAAUCCUGAAUCCUUACCCACCUAACUUCAAGGACCUGCAUCCCAGGGACCCCCAUACUCGACUGGGGUGGUCCAUGGCAACUGGCACCCAAACGUGGGGCUCGAAGCAAUCAUCCUCCAACUAGUCUUUUCCUUCAUUUCUACAAUCAAAAGAGAUAUUUACGAGCUUCAAUUAAACAAUAGAAAAGGAAGAGAUGUCACACCAACCCCAGUAGGAUCCAUGUGACAAGCUCCACAGAUUGAGGCGACAGACUUCAAAAGGAGGACACCUCCUGGAGCCCGCUGUGGAACUCUCGGCCGGAGAAAAGUUAUUGAGCAGUAGUUCUCUUGGCAACUUA